This 1217-nucleotide long non-coding RNA is filed under the name Anser brachyrhynchus (Pink-footed goose). RNAcentral's name for it is "lncRNA (ENSABRG00000022309.1)". Lineage: Eukaryota; Metazoa; Chordata; Aves; Anseriformes; Anatidae. The record is from RNAcentral.
CACGCCGCUCAGCACCUCGUCCCCAGGAAGGCUGCCUGCCCUGCGCCUUCAGUCCUUAACCCGUUUGCUCAUAGGGGUUCGCAGCCCUUUUCUGGGGUCCCGGUGACCUGUGGGUGCAGGGGGGAGGAUGCCAGGCUGGUGCCACCCUGUGUCUGAUGCUCCCCACGGCCAGGAGCAGGCUGGGGGCAGAUCCGUGCCUGGGACCCAGCUCUCCCCUCCACCCCACCUGCCAAAUAGCCAGGGGUUUGUCCCAGCUGGGCUCCACGGAGGCGAGUGGUGGAGGGGAUGUGUGGGACAGCCCCAGUGCCUGGGGAAGGUAUCUGAGGCUACAGCCCUGCCAUGGGGAGCGCAGGACCCCAGCUGGGACAGUCCCUGCUGCUCCGUGCCCCAGUCCCUGCCUUGCCCAGGAACAGGUUGGGGAGAACCAGGGGUGCUCAGCAACACCCCCACCUUCCAGAUUAGCCCAGCCCUGGGGACACAAGCAGCUUUAGUCUCCUUAGCCCAGACCUUGCAAGCUGGCUGGGUACCCACAGUGGUGCCAGCACAGGGACAUGGUGACCUUGCUGGGGCAGGGAGCCCCUGCUCACCCCAGCAUCUCCGCCAGGCAUGGCACAGCCAUGGUGAACAGGCUGGGGAGAGGUGGGCUGUUGGGGGGGGUCAGCCCCUGGUUCCCUUUGUGCUUGUCCCCACACAUCCCCGGUGGCACUGGGUGCAGUGGCAGGUCCCUGGGUUGUCCCCCUCCGUGUGGCACUGGGGUGCAGAGGGCAGCCGGCUGCCUUUACCACAUCCUGGGAUGGCACAAAACAUCCGGGCUGGGCAGGACACGCAGCUCACCAGGAAGAGCGCACACCUCUCCUCGCACGCACACCCAGCCCUGCACACGACGCACACACACCGGCACACGGAGCAGCGAGCACGGCGAGGGCAUCGCCAGCUCCACGCGGUUCGCCCAGCGAGGGCGCACACACACGCACACACACACACAGAGCCGUGCACACACUCGCAGCUGUAUGCAAACGCACACACACACAUGCACACGCACCUGCAUGCAAACACACCUCUAUGCAAAUGCACGCUGGGGCACGCGUGCCUCCUCAGCGCUCCUCCUGCGCCCUGCUCUCCCUAUGCAAAUCCUCCCGCACCAUGCAAAUCCCCAGCCCGGGGCCCCGGGAGCCCAGUGGGAUGCAAAUGGCCAUUUUUGGGCUGGUGGGGUGGGG